This 1156-nucleotide unclassified non-coding RNA is filed under the name Melitaea cinxia (Glanville fritillary). Its description in RNAcentral is "misc RNA ENSMCXG00005005358.1". The record is from RNAcentral. Lineage: Eukaryota; Metazoa; Arthropoda; Insecta; Lepidoptera; Nymphalidae.
AUGUUUUUUGAAAAUUGCGUUAUAAUGUUCGAUUUCCGAUAUUUCGUGUUGUAAUUGAUAUAUGAUACUCCUGUAUUGUGUUGGAAGUAGAUCGAGGCUUAAGUAUGAUUCUUCCAAAUGACCGACAUAAUCUUUCACAUGACGUAAUGCCGACCAAUAGGUACUCAUAUUGUAGUAAGCGAUUAGUUUCCAUUCAUCGCGUAUUAUGUGUACGUCAUACAUUUUAUCGAAAUAAAUGUUUUGAUUACUGUUCAGAGCUGUAACGUUGUAUGAACAUUCAGUUGGUUUAAAUAGAAAUAGAAUUAGCAUCAAUAUCAUAGUAAAGAAUGUUCCGAGAGGCCUUCUUAAUUGUCUACCCCUUCGUUGCCUCUGUUGCGAGUCGACGCCUGUGUCGUCGCCGCAUGUCGUUGUUGAAAUGUUAUCGAUACGGUUCUGUGCUUGAGUUCCGGUACCUUCUUCUCUUACGGGUAGAACUGACAGUUUUAAAACGGGUCUUUGUAUAACGCCAUUCUUAGUUUUGACGUUGAUGUAUAAUUGAUAGGACCGUCUUCAGAGGUCCAGGCCAGUCUCUCAGUGGAUAGUGCGACCUUGUUUGCGCCUUCUCAAUUUAACUGGUGGAACCCGCUUCUGGGAAGCCAGUCAACCGAUUCGCAGUCACACAAAUUCCACGUGAGCGUUGUGGCCACUGUAUGUGGAUUCUCCAAAUGUCGAUGGAAAUCCGUAGAGUUUAUAGUCUUGAUUGACCGUUUUCUUGAGUGAUUUCUCGAAGAAAUAUUUAUUUUUUCUCGAAGGAUCAACGACUGUAUGUAUCCUCGAAGUAAGACUGUUGUCUUCUAGCCUGCAGGUUCAGAAUGACUGCGCAGCUUGUCAAGCAGCAAGGCUGUAUUCUCGAAGGACCAAAAAACUGUAUGUAUCCUCGAAGUAAGACUGUUGUCUUAUAGCUUGCAGGUUCAGAAUGACUGCGCAGCUUGUCAGCAACAAGGCUGUAUUCUCGAAGGACCAAAAAACUGUAUGAUCCUCGAAGUAAGACUGUUGUCUUGUAGAAAGUAAUCUCGAAGGACCAAAAAACUGUAUGAUCCUGUCUGUGUGAGUGAGAGACGACAUGUGAGGGAAGGUUACGAGGGAAACCAAACCCAAUGAAAGUCGAUCUAACACU